Molecule: small RNA, 23 nt
Filed under: Bombyx mori (domestic silkworm)
Lineage: Eukaryota; Metazoa; Arthropoda; Insecta; Lepidoptera; Bombycidae
Description: ovarian small RNA-12821
Source: RNAcentral
CAACUGACAGCGAUGGGCUAUAG